CGGGUAGUCACCGGGUAGUCACCGGGUAGUCACCGGGUAGUCACCGGGUAGUCACCAUGUGAGUCACCGGGUAGUCACCGGGUAGUCACCGGGUAGUCACCGGGUAAUCACCGGGUAGUCACCAUGUGAGUCACCGGGUAGUCACCGGGUAGUCACCAUGUGAGUCACCGGGUAAUCACCGGGUAGUCACCAUGUGAGUCACCGGGUAGUCACCAUGUGAGUCACCGGGUAGUCACCGUGUGAGUCACUGUGUAGUCACCGUGUAGUCACCGGGUAGUCACCGGGUAGUCACCGUGUAGUCACCGGGUAGUCCACGUAUGAGUCACCGUGUAGUCACCGUGUAGUCACCGGGUAGUCACCGGGUAGUCACCGUGUAGUCAACGGGUAGUCACCGGGUAGUCACCUCAAAGCCAGUUCCACUCCUGCUUUUAGUCUUCCCCUCUAAUCAGGGACUGAUUUAGACCUGGGACACCAGGUGGGUGCAAUUAAUUAUCAGGUAGAACAGAAAACCAGCAGUACUCCGGUCCUCCGGGUUCGGAUUUGAAUACCAGUACCCUUGCUUUAUUCUCUUUUGGACGAAUCAGAACCAUUGGCGUGGUGGUUCCUCAGGUUCCUCAGUUAUGAGGCUUGCAUCUAAUUAUUGUAUAAAAUAAAUGAGUAAAAAUUAAACUAUUUGUGAAAUGAUGUAAUGUGAUAUUUAGUCUUCUAAAUGAGAGAAUUGUUUUCAUAAGUAAACUGGUGCUCACUCAGCAGCCACGCCCAAGUGAAUAGACAUUGGUUGGAAAGGAUGAACCAACCCCUUUUCUACAUUUCUAUAAAAGCCCUGUGACGAAAACUCACCUCAGUUCCAAAAAACAGGAGGACUUGUCCUCCAAGUUGAAAAGGGCUAAUUUCAACUAUACAGGCCAGGAAACGAGAGCUUGCUCCACACGUGAAAUGGUAUGAACUCUGAACUAUUGAUCACCUAAAGAAGAAGUGCAUACUAAACUAGCGUAUAUCAGACUGCAGCUGAACAUAUGCGCAAAUCUAGUACGAGAACACUGACCGACGCGGACGAAUCUCCAGAGUGAGGUUAACCUUUUGGACCACGUGAACCUCUCACACGACAACCCAGAAGAAUCUACAAAGGACAACGGCGACAUUGACUGGGCGCUCCAGAGCCUCACAUCACCAGCUCAACUAUCAAAGCCAGCUUCACGUAAAUGCAAUGCAUUACUUUUCUGAAUGAGCGAUCGUUAGUGGCAUAUGUAUUUAUGUGAGAAUAGCUUCUAAGGUCCAAUAGAGACCCAUGGUCCUUAGUCUUCCUUCCAAAACCCCUUUCUCUUCUCUCUGAAUCUAUUGUGUUAUAACUAAGCUGCUUUUGUUUAGUCCACUAGGGACGGUAUUUACUGUAUAAUGUUAUUAUGUAUUGUAUAUUCUGUAAUUGUUUAUUUAGUUAGUAAAUAAAUAAUUGAGGCAAUUGGUGUAUGGAUGAUUCAUAGUAGAGGCUGGGUUCGUUCAGAUAACCAAGAAUUUUACGUCGUUCAGAUGAAACUGACGAAGGUAAUAAUAAGAACUCAUUAAUAGAAGACUAAUUGAUCAGAUAUUAAAAUAUCUUAAGAGUUAUAUUCAGCAAAUUAUGACUCUGUAAGCCAACAUUUUCCGUGGUGCCCCGACUUCCUAGUUAAUUCAAUUUACAUGAUUAAUUUAAUUACGUAAUAAUAAUGACAAAGAAUUGAUUUGAUAAAAGAACAGUCGUCACAUUUAAUGAUAAGUCAGAGACACGGCACUACCCGCUGCAUUUACAUUUCUAAAGUCUAUUAAUGGUGACAAAAUUGUCCAAUGCUGUAAAAGUUUUCAAAAAAAUCUAAAAUGAAUUUGCUUGCAGAUUAUUAAAAAAAUAAAUAAAAACAUAGUCAAAUAAUACCCCUUAACAAUGUAAAUUAACAUAAAUGCUUAAUGUAUUUGUAUAUUUUUACUACAUUGAACAAAUAAAUAAAUGCUUGUGUUGCCUUUAUGUCACCGGUGUUCAGGCUUUCCUGAAUUCAGGCUUUCCAAAAAUGUAAUAUGACUAAUUAAUUUGCAUAUACAGUGCAUUUGGAAAGUAUUCAGACCCCUUGACUUUUUACACAUUUAGUUACAUUACAGACUUAUUCUAAAAUGGAUUCAAUAUUUUUUUUACGGUCAUCAAUCUACACACAACACCCCAUAAUCACAUAGUGAAAACAGGUUUUUAGAUAAUAAAUAAAACAAUGAAAUAUCACAUUUACAUAAUACAUAGUAUUCUGACGCUUUACUCAGUACUUUGUUGAAGCACCUUUGGCAGCGAUUACAGCCUUGAGUUUUCUUGGGUAUGACGCUACAAGCUUGGCACACCUGUAUUUGGGGAGUUUCUCCCUUACUGAUGCUAGCAUUGGAUGUGCUUGUGGAAGCAGAGAAAAACUCACCUAAAUGUAUAUGUCACGUUCUGACCUUAGUUCCUCUGUUUUGUCUUUGUUUUAGUAUGGUCAGGGCGUGAGUUGGGGUGGGCAGUCUAUGUUCCUUUUUCUAUCAUUUGGUAUUUCUGUGUUUGGCCUGGUAUGGUUGUCAAUUGGAGGCAGCUGUCAAUCGUUGUCCCCGAUUGAGAACCAUAUUUAGGUAGCCUGGUUUCACUUCUGAGUUGUGGGUGAUUAUUUUCCUGUUUCGUUUGUUUCUUUUAUUCACGUUGUUAUUUUGUAUUUUAUUGUUCAGGCAAAUAAACAUCAUGAACAGUACUUACCACA
Molecule: long non-coding RNA, 2741 nt
Organism: Oncorhynchus tshawytscha (Chinook salmon)
Lineage: Eukaryota; Metazoa; Chordata; Actinopteri; Salmoniformes; Salmonidae
Source: Ensembl